RNAcentral lists this ribosomal RNA (910 nucleotides) under human gut metagenome. RNAcentral's name for it is "bacterial SSU rRNA". It matches the Rfam family "Bacterial small subunit ribosomal RNA", at positions 8 to 917 of the family's 1533-position model. The record is from RNAcentral.
AGAGUUUGAUCCUGGCUCAGGAUGAACGCUGGCGGCGUGCCUAAUACAUGCAAGUCGAACGCGAGCACUUGUGCUCGAGUGGCGAACGGGUGAGUAAUACAUAAGUAACCUGCCCUAGACAGGGGGAUAACUAUUGGAAACGAUAGCUAAGACCGCAUAGGUACGGACACUGCAUGGUGACCGUAUUAAAAGUGCCUCAAAGCACUGGUAGAGGAUGGACUUAUGGCGCAUUAGCUGGUUGGCGGGGUAACGGCCCACCAAGGCGACGAUGCGUAGCCGACCUGAGAGGGUGACCGGCCACACUGGGACUGAGACACGGCCCAGACUCCUACGGGAGGCAGCAGUAGGGAAUUUUCGGCAAUGGGGGAAACCCUGACCGAGCAACGCCGCGUGAAGGAAGAAGGUUUUCGGAUUGUAAACUUCUGUUAUAAAGGAAGAACGGCGGCUACAGGAAAUGGUAGCCGAGUGACGGUACUUUAUUAGAAAGCCACGGCUAACUACGUGCCAGCAGCCGCGGUAAUACGUAGGUGGCAAGCGUUAUCCGGAAUUAUUGGGCGUAAAGAGGGAGCAGGCGGCAGCAAGGGUCUGUGGUGAAAGCCUGAAGCUUAACUUCAGUAAGCCAUAGAAACCAGGCAGCUAGAGUGCAGGAGAGGAUCGUGGAAUUCCAUGUGUAGCGGUGAAAUGCGUAGAUAUAUGGAGGAACACCAGUGGCGAAGGCGACGAUCUGGCCUGCAACUGACGCUCAGUCCCGAAAGCGUGGGGAGCAAAUAGGAUUAGAUACCCUAGUAGUCCACGCCGUAAACGAUGAGUACUAAGUGUUGGAUGUCAAAGUUCAGUGCUGCAGUUAACGCAAUAAGUACUCCGCCUGAGUAGUACGUUCGCAAGAAUGAAACUCAAAGGAAUUGACGGG